Molecule: long non-coding RNA, 3462 nt
Filed under: Gossypium barbadense (sea-island cotton)
Lineage: Eukaryota; Viridiplantae; Streptophyta; Magnoliopsida; Malvales; Malvaceae
Description: long non-coding RNA (GBAR_LNC017762)
Source: RNAcentral
CCAGUCAAAUCUAACAGCUGGACGCAAUUAAAUCCCACUUUUCCAUACUGAAUCGUCACAUCUGUUCUGAGGAUAACAGUUUCCCAAAAGAUUUUCUUCCAUCUGUUAUCAUUUUCAAAUCUCUCUUUUUUGAAAACCCUUCAAUCCGGGUUCCUUGCCCAUUCCUCUUGCAGAAGUUCUUCAUUGCAGAUCCUCUCGGUUCCGACCAGGUUCCUCUCUUCCCCCUUUUCUAAUGUUUCUUUUGCUAGUUUAUGGGCUUGAUAGUUUUCUGGUUUUUAAUAAACUGAAAAAUUAUUUCUUGAAAUCGAGAACUAUGCUUCUGAAUAUCUCUGAUGACUGCUCCAAUAAUCGACUUGUCCAUACCUUUUGCUUGACAUUUCUUUAUGACUGUCUUCGAAUCUCCCAUAAUUGUAACUGAUCGGAGACCCAUUGCUAAGCCUAACUUUACUGCUUGUAGGCAUGCAUAUGCUUCUGCAAGAAACGGAGAUGAAAUAUUGGAGUGGAGGGUUGUUUUCAAGGCUCUUAACUCUCCCCGCCAGUCUCGUACAAUAACUCCCGACGCCGAUCUAUACCUGUUAGUAUCAAAAGCUGUAUCAAAGUGUAUUGUGUCCUGUGUUCUCGCUUCCCAAUGUCUCUGAACUUCAACAGUCUUCAAGGUACGUUUUUCCAUUCCCACUGUUUCAAUCUCAGCUAAAUAAGCCUUUAUUCUGUGAACAAGAUCCCUUCCUGAUACAAUCUUCCUCUCAUGCACCAAUUGAUUUCGUGAGUUCCAUAUUGCCCAUAAGGCGCAACAAAACACCUUACACUGCUCAUUGGUUCCUUUUUCAAAGACCCAAGUAAGCCAUGUUCUAGUAUUCUGAUCUCUGUAUGGUGUAACCCAAGUCAUACUAAUGCUUUGCCAAACUUCAUUGCUUUUAGGACACUGCAAAAAUACGUGGAGACUGUUUUCUUCCCCUGAACCACAUCGAGGACAUCUCACGCUUGUGGUUAAAUGUUUGCAACGUAGAUUGACUAAUGUAGGAAUGUAGUUCCAAGAAAUACUCCAGAUCAAGAGUAGAAUUUUUUAUGGAAGUUGUAAUUGCCAUGAUUUUCUGUAGAAAUCUUUGAAUUCGGUCUGUACUAAAUUAUUUGGGUCCAGAUUAGCAUCUUGUAAUAGUUUGUAAGCACUCCGUACUGAGAAUUCUCCAGACGGUUCACCUUUCCAAACAAGCAAAUCUUCACUAUCUGUAGUUGCAAGUGGGAUCUGUAAUAUUCUUUGUGCAAUGGCCAGUUGAAAGGUAUGAGUAACAACCUCCACUUUCCACGUCUUAUCUAUUCCAUCAAUUAGAUCUGAUACAUUUUCCAGCUCUCCAUUUUGAUGACUGUUCUGCCAUAUACUAGGUUCGAUCCCUGGGAUCCACCGGUCAUUCCAAAUAGAAAUUUUGUUUCCUUUCCCAACUCUCCAACACAGGCCUUGAGUGAGAAGUCCCUUUGCAGCCCAGAUACUCUUCCAGGUAAGGGAAGGUAAAUUCCCCAACUCUGCACUUAGAAAAUUCUAAUUUGGAUAAUACUUUGCUUUAAGAACCCUGGCUAAAAGCGAAUUCGGAUAAUUAAAAAGACGCCAUCCCUGUUUGGCAAGCAAUGCAAUAUUGAAUUGACUGAGAUUACGAAAGCCUAAACCUCUAUUCUCUUUUAAACUGCAUAAAUCCUUCCACGAGCUCCAAUGAAUUCCCCCUUAUCCCUGACCUUUUUUCCACCAAAAUCUCGCGAUAAUUGCUUCCAUUACGUCACAUAAGGAUUUCGGAAGUAAGAAUUGAUUGUUAAAAUAUUAAUCAUACAAAAAUAUACAAAAAGAUGAAAAAUUAUUUUAAUUUUUAUAUUAGUGUAAGUGGAUUUUUUCCUCUCCUCUUUCUCUCUCUAUAUAAUUUAAAGAUUAAUAGCAUGUUUGGUUGGAUGGAAUAGCCUAUGCAUUCCAAUUCUAUUCAAUGGGCCCAUUACAAACUGUUGUUUAGUUUAAGGUAAUAGCCUAUUACGGGCCGAAUGGAAUCAGCCUCUAUUACUGGACAACAUGUAAUAGCAAUUCAGGGGCUGGGGGUCUGAAUUGAUAUUCAAAACCACCCGCAAUAACAUUUUUACUUUUUUGGACCAAAAUAGCCUGCCUCUCUUCUUCAUCGUUUUCACUUUCACUUCAGAUUUCUUACUCGACAUUUAUCCCCAAAGUGAACCCUAGAAAUUAGCUCCUUAAUCGAUGACAAAUCAAGCAUCCAUUCGCUAUCUUCAUCUUCAUCUUUCUUCUAGUUGAUCCUCCUUAUUUACGGUAAGUGCCUUUGAUUCUUUUUUUUUUCUCUGAAUUUUUUAGUUAAAGUUCUUUCACUUCUUUCAACUUUUCUUUUCCUCUUUCGUAUUUGGAUAUAAACUAGCAAAGAAAAUUGUGCCUAAAUGAAAUACUGUGUAUCAAUUAGAGUCAAUCCUAUGUUGGAUGCAUGAAUUGAAGAAUCUCAUAAUUACCAUACAAAUCCAAAUGAUUUCAUCCUUUUUCUCCCGUUCACUAUUUACUAGCUCAAAUUUUCCCUUCUUCCUUUAACGUGGUGGUUUCAUACCGUUUUUAUUUUCUUUUAAAGCCCCCUUUCUUUCAAAAUAUAUAGCUAGUGAAAAUUUUAUGCUUUGUGUGGCUAUGAUUAAAAAGCUUAUUCAUGAGUAUACCAACAUGCAAAGCGAAAGGUACGUUGAGAGAUAGUUGUAAGCAAGCGUUGCUUGGGUAGCUGCUAUUUGUGACCCAUUAAUUUGCUUGAUUAUGGAAUAACCAAAUGACACAACAAGACAGGGUGUUUAACAUUUUCAUACAUUUCUUGAGCAAAUGUUUGCAAGUUGGUCUUUGUUUUUAUGCUCUAUUCUUGGCACUCUUACAUGUUUAGAAUUAACCUUAAAUAUCCAAAAAUAGAUCCAUUUUGAACAACACGUAUGCAUAUAUAAUAAACAGGUGUUUGCAAUUGCAAGUUCUUUCUCGGGUGCAAACACAAAAAGAAACCACAACAGCAAAAUAGCAUGUAAUUGGAUAGAAAAACAUUUGGUCUCGCACUUGGUUUGCUCUUUUGUGUCAUGCUUCUUUACAUGGGGAAUUUGUAUAUAAUUUUUAAAAUAUUUGUUGCUUUAAGAAAACUUAAUAUAAAUGUUUUGACUGUGCAAAAUCUUAAUUUUGUCUUAGGAUGUACUUUUUUAAUGUCUGUCCCUCUUGUUGUGUUUACAUAUAAAAAAAAGUUUUGGUUGAUUAAACUGGCAAAAGAGGAUCAUAGACUUUGCAAUAGCCUCCAAGCUUCCAAUGUACCCUUUUUCCAACGAUUGUUAUAGCUUACUUUAGUGCUAAAUCUUCAGUAUUGGACUUCUAAGAGAAAAAAGAUAAGGCUAAUUUUUUGUCAUCACACCCGUUUGGGGCUUGUUUGGUUUUAUGUGAAUACAUUUGAUGCAUUUAUUCUGGUUUUUGAG